AGGGAAAUAGCUCAGUGGUAGAGCACAUGCUUAGUAUGCAGGAGGUCCUGGGUUCAAUCCCUAGUACCUCCA
Molecule: transfer RNA, 72 nt
Filed under: Camelus bactrianus (Bactrian camel)
Lineage: Eukaryota; Metazoa; Chordata; Mammalia; Artiodactyla; Camelidae
Also listed under: 2 other names
Rfam family: tRNA
About the family: Transfer RNA (tRNA) molecules are approximately 80 nucleotides in length.
Source: Rfam by way of RNAcentral